Oncorhynchus tshawytscha (Chinook salmon) is the source of this 291-nucleotide long non-coding RNA. The record is from Ensembl. NCBI's taxonomy places the organism in Eukaryota, Metazoa, Chordata, Actinopteri, Salmoniformes, Salmonidae.
AAGACAUCAAAACUAUGAAAUAACACAAAUGGAAUCAUGUAGUAACCAAAAAAUGUUUAAACAAAUCCAAAUGUAUUUGAGUCUUCAAAUAGCCACCCUUUGCCUUCAUGACAGCUUUGCACACUCUUGGCAUUCUCUCAACCAGCUUCCAUGAGGACAAUGACCCAACACACCUCCAGGCGGUGUAAGGGCUAUUUUACGAAGGAGAGUGACGGAGUGCUGCAUCAGAUGACCUGGCCUCCACAAUCCCCCGACCUCAACCCAUUUUGAGAUGGUUUGGGAUGAGUCGGA